This 208-nucleotide long non-coding RNA is filed under the name Physcomitrium patens. RNAcentral describes it as "long non-coding RNA (PPAT_LNC006728)". Lineage: Eukaryota; Viridiplantae; Streptophyta; Bryopsida; Funariales; Funariaceae. The record is from RNAcentral.
AUGGGGCCUAAAGAAGAAGAAUUAAACUACUAAGAGGCCUAUUUGGAAGGAUGAAGACAAAGUGAGGAUGAAUAAAGACAAGGGGUGAAGACUUUCAUCCCUAUUGGUCGAAUGUCAUGACCAAUGGGCUUCAAGGAGGCUGCCCGAGGCCUUAUUAGGAUUUAGGGUUCUUCUUUCAAAGUAAUUUGAGUUUUGGAGGCUAGGGUCA